GAUGAACGCUGGCGGCGUGCCUAAUACAUGCAAGUCGAGCGAACGGACGAGAAGCUUGCUUCUCUGAUGUUAGCGGCGGACGGGUGAGUAACACGUGGAUAACCCACCUAUAAGACUGGGAUAACUUCGGGAAACCGGAGCUAAUACCGGAUAAUAUUUUGAACCGCAUGGUUCAAAAGUGAAAGACGGUCUUGCUGUCACUUAUAGAUGGAUCCGCGCUGCAUUAGCUAGUUGGUAAGGUAACGGCUUACCAAGGCAACGAUGCAUAGCCGACCUGAGAGGGUGAUCGGCCACACUGGAACUGAGACACGGUCCAGACUCCUACGGGAGGCAGCAGUAGGGAAGCUUCCGCAAUGGGCGAAAGCCUGACGGAGCAACGCCGCGUGAGUGAUGAAGGGCUGCGGAUCGUAAAACUCUGUUAUUAGGGAAGAACAUAUGUGUAAGUAACUGUGCACAUCUUGACGGUACCUAAUCAGAAAGCCACGGCUAACUACGU
This 496-nucleotide ribosomal RNA is filed under the name uncultured bacterium. RNAcentral describes it as "partial 16S ribosomal RNA". It matches the Rfam family "Bacterial small subunit ribosomal RNA", at positions 28 to 506 of the family's 1533-position model. The record is from RNAcentral.